This is a long non-coding RNA of Empidonax traillii (willow flycatcher), 625 nucleotides long. RefSeq lists it as uncharacterized. The record is from RefSeq and is a predicted model, not a curated record. The transcript has 3 exons. Lineage: Eukaryota; Metazoa; Chordata; Aves; Passeriformes; Tyrannidae.
CAUUCCCUCCCACUCUCACAUGAGCCAAGAGGAGUCUCUUGUGUUUACAGCCAGGGAAUGGGAGACAAGCACUGGGCUAGUCUUGGCUCAGCCCAGUUUUUGUUUGUGUUGGACACAUGAUGACACUCCCCUCAUCGGAUCCAAGCAGGUCCCACUUCCUGGUAGGGUUGGUGUGAGUGGAGCUUCCGACUGUGGCCUCACCUUCUCUUUAGGAGAAGCAGCGAGAUGAGGAUUCAGCAGAGAGCGGAUUGCCGAGCUCUCAGCAGGAGCAGUGGAAUAACAUUCUACCUGCAUGUGCUCAUUCCCGUGCGAGGUGCCAAACCCCUGCAAUGGCUGCCUGGCUGCCUCUCUGCUGUUCCCAGACCUUACACGUGAUGCAUUUUCACUUGCCCGUUUCUCCGCUGAAAAGAAAUAAAACAAUAAUAAUGAAAAAAAAAAAAAAAAACGAGGUGUGGAGUUCGUUUGGAAUAAGGAAAAAUAUCAGUGGGAAAACAAACCCCAGCGGACGCUGGAGGGAGUUGGUCAGGUUUGUAAAACGCGUUUGAGAGCUCAGUCCCAUGUGAAAUGUGGAAAAGCCAUCAGGGGCCAUAAAGCCAGCAAGGAUGGGUUUGGUCUGGUUACAGAG